CCUUGCACGGAAAACGAUUACAAACUCUGGUCUCCGUCUGAUGAACGAGGCAACGAAUGCCUUUUGGGGCACAAAACGGUCUUCAAAAGACGAACUCCUCACGCAACAUGUUUCAACGGGGAAGAUUUUGAUCGGCCGGUCAUGGUCUCCAAUUGUUCUUGCACCCGAGAAGACUAUGAGUGCGAUUUCGGCUUCAAGCUGAGCGAAGACCUGUCACUAGAGGUUUGUGUCCCAGAUCCUGAAUUUGCUGGCAA
Molecule: non-coding RNA, 254 nt
Organism: Anolis sagrei ordinatus
Lineage: Eukaryota; Metazoa; Chordata; Lepidosauria; Squamata; Anolidae
Source: RefSeq, a predicted model, not a curated record